GUGGGGAAUAUUGGACAAUGGGCGAAAGCCUGAUCCAGCCAUGCCGCGUGUGUGAAGAAGGUCUUCGGAUUGUAAAGCACUUUAAGUUGGGAGGAAGGGCAGUAAGUUAAUACCUUGCUGUUUUGACGUUACCGACAGAAUAAGCACCGGCUAACUUCGUGCCAGCAGCCGCGGUAAUACAGAGGGUGCAAGCGUUAAUCGGAAUUACUGGGCGUAAAGCGCGCGUAGGUGGUUUUGUAAGUUGGAGGUGAAAUCCCCGGGCUCAACCUGGGAACUGCCUCCAAAACUGCAUGACUAGAGUACGGUAGAGGGUAGUGGAAUUUCCUGUGUAGCGGUGAAAUGCGUAGAUAUAGGAAGGAACACCAGUGGCGAAGGCGACUACCUGGACUGAUACUGACACUGAGGUGCGAAAGCGUGGGGAGCAAACAGGAUUAGAAACCCUUGUAGUCC
Molecule: ribosomal RNA, 450 nt
Filed under: uncultured bacterium
Lineage: Bacteria
Description: bacterial SSU rRNA
Rfam family: Bacterial small subunit ribosomal RNA
Source: RNAcentral